Molecule: ribosomal RNA, 578 nt
Filed under: uncultured bacterium
Lineage: Bacteria
Description: bacterial SSU rRNA
Rfam family: Bacterial small subunit ribosomal RNA
Source: RNAcentral
CACCAAGGCGACGACGGGUAGCCGGCCUGAGAGGGCGACCGGCCACACUGGGACUGAGACACGGCCCAGACUCCUACGGGAGGCAGCAGUGGGGAAUAUUGCACAAUGGGCGCAAGCCUGAUGCAGCGACGCCGCGUGGGGGAUGACGGCCUUCGGGUUGUAAACCUCUUUCACCAGGGACGAAGCGAAAGUGACGGUACCUGGAGAAGAAGCACCGGCCAACUACGUGCCAGCAGCCGCGGUAAUACGUAGGGUGCGAGCGUUGUCCGGAAUUACUGGGCGUAAAGAGCUCGUAGGUGGUUUGUCGCGUUGUUCGUGAAAUCUCAGGGCUUAACUGUGGGCGUGCGGGCGAUACGGGCAGACUGGAGUACUGCAGGGGAGACUGGAAUUCCUGGUGUAGCGGUGGAAUGCGCAGAUAUCAGGAGGAACACCGGUGGCGAAGGCGGGUCUCUGGGCAGUAACUGACGCUGAGGAGCGAAAGCGUGGGGAGCGAACAGGAUUAGAUACCCUGGUAGUCCACGCCGUAAACGGUGGGUACUAGGUGUGGGUUUCCUUCCUUGGGAUCCGUGCCGUAGCUA